This 305-nucleotide ribosomal RNA is filed under the name uncultured bacterium. Its description in RNAcentral is "bacterial SSU rRNA". It matches the Rfam family "Bacterial small subunit ribosomal RNA", at positions 333 to 630 of the family's 1533-position model. The record is from RNAcentral.
UUUUGCCUACGGGGGGCAGCAGUUAGGAAUAUUCGUCAAUGGGGGAAACCCUGAACGAGCAAUGCCGCGUGAAGGAAGAAGGUCCUAUGGAUUGUAAACUUCUGUUGUAAAGGAAGAACGACCUAAGUAGGAAAUGACUUAGGAGUGACGGUACUUUAUUAGAAAGCUCCGGCUAACUACGUGCCAGCAGCCGCGGUAAUACGUAGGGAGCGAGCGUUAUCCGGAAUUAUUGGGUGUAAAGGGUGCGUAGGCGGUUUGAUAAGUCAGUGGUGAAAGCCUAGAGCUUAACUCUAGUAAGCCAUUGA